RNAcentral lists this ribosomal RNA (466 nucleotides) under Vreelandella stevensii. RNAcentral's name for it is "partial 16S ribosomal RNA". It matches the Rfam family "Bacterial small subunit ribosomal RNA", at positions 338 to 795 of the family's 1533-position model. Lineage: Bacteria; Pseudomonadati; Pseudomonadota; Gammaproteobacteria; Oceanospirillales; Halomonadaceae. The record is from RNAcentral.
CCUAACGGGUGGCAGCAGUGGGGAAUAUUGGACAAUGGGCGAAAGCCUGAUCCAGCCAUGCCGCGUGUGUGAAGAAGGCCUUCGGGUUGUAAAGCACUUUCAGUGGGGAAGAAAGCCUUGGGGCUAAUACCCUCGAGGAAGGACAUCACCCACAGAAGAAGCACCGGCUAACUCCGUGCCAGCAGCCGCGGUAAUACGGAGGGUGCGAGCGUUAAUCGGAAUUACUGGGCGUAAAGCGCGCGUAGGCGGUCUGAUAAGCCGGUUGUGAAAGCCCCGGGCUCAACCUGGGAACGGCAUCCGGAACUGUCAGGCUAGAGUGCAGGAGAGGAAGGUAGAAUUCCCGGUGUAGCGGUGAAAUGCGUAGAGAUCGGGAGGAAUACCAGUGGCGAAGGCGGCCUUCUGGACUGACACUGACGCUGAGGUGCGAAAGCGUGGGUAGCAAACAGGAUUAGAUACCCCAGUAGUC